RNAcentral lists this ribosomal RNA (274 nucleotides) under uncultured bacterium. Its description in RNAcentral is "partial 16S ribosomal RNA". It matches the Rfam family "Bacterial small subunit ribosomal RNA", at positions 523 to 796 of the family's 1533-position model. The record is from RNAcentral.
AUACGGAGGGGGCUAGCGUUGUUCGGAAUUACUGGGCGUAAAGGGCGCGUAGGCGGACUAUCAAGUCAGGGGUGAAAGGCCUGGGCUCAACCCGGGAACUGCCUUUGAAACUGAAAGUCUAGAGACCGAGAGAGGAUAGCGGAAUUCCCAGUGUAGAGGUGAAAUUCGUAGAUAUUGGGAAGAACACCAGUGGCGAAGGCGGCUAUCUGGCUCGGUACUGACGCUGAGGCGCGAAAGCGUGGGGAGCAAACAGGAUUAGAAACCCCUGUAGUCC